GGAAGACGUAUUAUGAAACGACCGUCUGCUGCCCUAAAGUGAAAGUUUACUCUGUCCUCUUUUUCACGUUUUUCAGAAAAUUCACGAGGCCACGCUUAUGGAAGUCAUCACUAUACGAUGAUAACGCGCAGAUGAAAUAGAAAACAAUUUAGCCGACAAUGGAUAAAUAAAAUUAGAAGGUUGUGUCAAGGAGCUCGAGUUAUUUGUCAGAAAGAAAAAUCUGUCUGUAUUCGUAUAUUCCCCUAGGGACACGUUAACCUGAAUACAAUACAUAGAUAGAUCAGCUUGAAUACGAACGACGGUUGCAUGGAUAAAGCAAAUACACAAGUUUAUGUACAGUCGAAGGACAGCACAACGACCGAACGACAAAGAGAAUUUGAAGUACUUAGCGAUCACAAAAUUGCACGCAUGAAACGUAGUGAUCCAACUCGAAGGACCAUUAAAUGUUAGGCUAGCCCUAUCCUAUCCAUCUUUAGUUCGAUUACGAGUAGAGUAGGCGGUGUAAACCCGAACCGAAAAAAGGGGCCGAUUAGGUACUACGAAUUAAUCCGUGGUCAAUUGUUCCAACAGAAAACUAGGUGAUUUGCCCUUACGUACUAAUUGACCCUUUCUUAUUUGAUUGAGUUUCACACCUCCUAUCCAAUUCAUAAUCGAUUCAGAUUUCAAUCAGAUAGGGCGAACCUAACAAUGACUUUUAGCAUCUGUGUAACGUUUAUGGUGCUGAAAGCAGCCGCCUUUCUGACCCUAAAUUUGGUUUCAUUGAACUGUACAACCAAAAUUGCAGUAAUAGCUUUCACAGAAAAAUAUAUACACAUUUUUAGCAUUUCGCUGUCAUGCUCGUUUUUCAUCUAGUAGAUCAUCAAUAGAUAUCCACGUUGUGCAUUCACCCCGUACCAUGUUCGUAUAAUGACCCCUAGCAAAACUUUUAACGUAGUGGAAAAUCGCUGUUUUAAGUUUAUAAAAUUGAUCCCUUACUUGUAUUUUAGUAGUGGGUGCUGCUUUGUUAUUGAAAUUUUGUAUUUUUGUUGUUUCAUUCCUACUGUAGUACAUUCCUCUGACGACAGCCGCUCAUCAUACUAUUUCGCCGGGAGCCCAACAGCAAGGUGCUAUUUGCAUAACCGGCUCCGGAAGGGCGCUGCGCGGCCACCCCUUUCCUGGUCCCAGAUUCUUGAUUCCGCGCGGGCUUUAAAUCUCAUGGCACGAUCGAGUUGCUCGGGUGAAGGCGUGCUUCAUCGCUCCUCCGAUUUAUCAAAGACGAGAUAAACAUAAGCGAAUGAGCGGCGUAGCAAACGCAGUCCGCGUGGCCAAUCCAAGAUUCUUCUAGUAGGGACUAGCUGGCCAGGUUAUACUCCAGGUGCUUGGAGGGUAUGUCGCCGGGGAGGAGGUGCGGAGGAGACGCUUGGAGAGAACGCAGCGAUCGUGUUGAUACUCGUCUGGUUCCAUUACAAAUCGAGAGAACUCGAGAGUAGCUGGCCGAUAAACAACCGUCGUAGACGACCCGGACAGAAGUGCGACACGAGGCUGUGGCAGCGGCCCGCAACCAAAUCACGCAUAAAAUGCCGCUACGUGUUGUACGGAUACUUAAGAAAAUUCGCAACAUUAGGAGCUCGUCUGGUAUCGAAGAAUCGAUCGGAAAUGUAUCACCGGAAUCGUAGAUCCUUUUUGCAAACCUCCGACAGGUAAUUUGGGAGCAACUGCAGGAGCAGGAGAUACUGUUCGAACUGCGACUGGAAGCGGACAGGCUGCAGCGCAAGGAACGGUAACAGAUUACUGCGUCCGAACGAGAGGCUCGCAUAGAAGAGAGGAUAACGCGGAUCGAGUACUAUAAUACCAAGUGCUAUCACUCGGAAGCGUGUGUAAAUAAUACGAACAUUCAUGUAAAUAUUGCGAGUGUGCCUGUUACUUCGGGUGUUUCUAUGGUCACUCAAUUGCAUAUUAUUAAUCAAUCGCGUACGUAUUGAUCAAUUUACUCGUGAUUCUCUGUUCUGCGUGAAGAAAUAGACCUAUCAACCAAUCAACCUACGGUUGAAUUCCGAAAACGAAGGUUUAGGUCAUGUUGUAAUUUUUAUUUAUUUACCAUUUGUAUAAUUUAGUUAAUCGUAAUAUUUUAACUUGUCAAUAUGAAUAAUACAUACAAAGAUUGCUGGGAAUAUUUUCGAAAAAAUAAAUACGAAGAAUCUGGCCCA
Molecule: long non-coding RNA, 2186 nt
Organism: Megalopta genalis
Lineage: Eukaryota; Metazoa; Arthropoda; Insecta; Hymenoptera; Halictidae
Source: RefSeq, a predicted model, not a curated record